RNAcentral lists this ribosomal RNA (1491 nucleotides) under Lactiplantibacillus plantarum. Its description in RNAcentral is "bacterial SSU rRNA". It matches the Rfam family "Bacterial small subunit ribosomal RNA". Lineage: Bacteria; Bacillati; Bacillota; Bacilli; Lactobacillales; Lactobacillaceae. The record is from RNAcentral.
GAACGCUGGCGGCGUGCCUAAUACAUGCAAGUCGAACGAACUCUGGUAUUGAUUGGUGCUUGCAUCAUGAUUUACAUUUGAGUGAGUGGCGAACUGGUGAGUAACACGUGGGAAACCUGCCCAGAAGCGGGGGAUAACACCUGGAAACAGAUGCUAAUACCGCAUAACAACUUGGACCGCAUGGUCCGAGUUUGAAAGAUGGCUUCGGCUAUCACUUUUGGAUGGUCCCGCGGCGUAUUAGCUAGAUGGUGGGGUAACGGCUCACCAUGGCAAUGAUACGUAGCCGACCUGAGAGGGUAAUCGGCCACAUUGGGACUGAGACACGGCCCAAACUCCUACGGGAGGCAGCAGUAGGGAAUCUUCCACAAUGGACGAAAGUCUGAUGGAGCAACGCCGCGUGAGUGAAGAAGGGUUUCGGCUCGUAAAACUCUGUUGUUAAAGAAGAACAUAUCUGAGAGUAACUGUUCAGGUAUUGACGGUAUUUAACCAGAAAGCCACGGCUAACUACGUGCCAGCAGCCGCGGUAAUACGUAGGUGGCAAGCGUUGUCCGGAUUUAUUGGGCGUAAAGCGAGCGCAGGCGGUUUUUUAAGUCUGAUGUGAAAGCCUUCGGCUCAACCGAAGAAGUGCAUCGGAAACUGGGAAACUUGAGUGCAGAAGAGGACAGUGGAACUCCAUGUGUAGCGGUGAAAUGCGUAGAUAUAUGGAAGAACACCAGUGGCGAAGGCGGCUGUCUGGUCUGUAACUGACGCUGAGGCUCGAAAGUAUGGGUAGCAAACAGGAUUAGAUACCCUGGUAGUCCAUACCGUAAACGAUGAAUGCUAAGUGUUGGAGGGUUUCCGCCCUUCAGUGCUGCAGCUAACGCAUUAAGCAUUCCGCCUGGGGAGUACGGCCGCAAGGCUGAAACUCAAAGGAAUUGACGGGGGCCCGCACAAGCGGUGGAGCAUGUGGUUUAAUUCGAAGCUACGCGAAGAACCUUACCAGGUCUUGACAUACUAUGCAAAUCUAAGAGAUUAGACGUUCCCUUCGGGGACAUGGAUACAGGUGGUGCAUGGUUGUCGUCAGCUCGUGUCGUGAGAUGUUGGGUUAAGUCCCGCAACGAGCGCAACCCUUAUUAUCAGUUGCCAGCAUUAAGUUGGGCACUCUGGUGAGACUGCCGGUGACAAACCGGAGGAAGGUGGGGAUGACGUCAAAUCAUCAUGCCCCUUAUGACCUGGGCUACACACGUGCUACAAUGGAUGGUACAACGAGUUGCGAACUCGCGAGAGUAAGCUAAUCUCUUAAAGCCAUUCUCAGUUCGGAUUGUAGGCUGCAACUCGCCUACAUGAAGUCGGAAUCGCUAGUAAUCGCGGAUCAGCAUGCCGCGGUGAAUACGUUCCCGGGCCUUGUACACACCGCCCGUCACACCAUGAGAGUUUGUAACACCCAAAGUCGGUGGGGUAACCUUUUAGGAACCAGCCGCCUAAGGUGGGACAGAUGAUUAGGGUGAAGUC